CGUUGUCCCUGCGCGACGCCGAGGAGUUUGGCGGCCUGGGCAGGGCACCCGUGGACUGGGGCAGGCUGCCCGAGAGCAGGCCACCUAGAAUCGCCAACCUCUCUGAGCAUGGCGCAACCCCAAGGCCAUAUAAGUCGCAGCCUGGCUACGGACAAAGCAACAAUGCACAAAGACGGGCGAAGCCGAUUGUUUACUGUGACAAGACGUGAGGGAUUUUUUGAACGACGGAGCGUAUUACUGUUGAUUUAUGUGUGAUACAAGCUUCUUGGUGAGCUCAUACAGCAGGCAUCUGUCAAGGAGGGUAUUCCUGGGUGUCCCAUGAGACUGGAGAGGGAGACUGGGAUGCUAGCCGGUGCUCUCAAAUGAGGCGGGAGACCGGGAUACGCUGCCGCGGCCGACAGAAAUGAUCACUGGUGGCAGUCGUCAGUGGCAUCCAUGACGCCAACUACGACAGCUAUGAAAAUUAACCACGUCACACGUUCAUCCUCAGGUAUGUGACGGCACUAUUCCACCCGCAUUGCGCGAUUGUGCUACAGCUACUGCUUUUGUUUCUUCGCACAUUGUGGGUGAAAAAUACGACUUUUUUCUUACCGAGA
This is a long non-coding RNA of Ixodes scapularis (black-legged tick), 596 nucleotides long. RefSeq lists it as uncharacterized. The record is from RefSeq and is a predicted model, not a curated record. Lineage: Eukaryota; Metazoa; Arthropoda; Arachnida; Ixodida; Ixodidae. The transcript is spliced from 5 exons.